RNAcentral lists this ribosomal RNA (301 nucleotides) under uncultured bacterium. RNAcentral describes it as "partial 16S ribosomal RNA". It matches the Rfam family "Bacterial small subunit ribosomal RNA", at positions 509 to 809 of the family's 1533-position model. The record is from RNAcentral.
CAGCAGCCGCGGGAAUACAGAGGGUGCGAGCGUUAAUCGGAUUUACUGGGCGUAAAGCGUGCGUAGGCGGCUAAUUGAGUCGGAUGUGAAAUCCCCGAGCUUAACUUGGGAAUUGCAUUCGAUACUGGUUAGCUAGAGUGUGGGAGAGGAUGGUAGAAUUCCAGGUGUAGCGGUGAAAUGCGUAGAGAUCUGGAGGAAUACCGAUGGCGAAGGCAGCCAUCUGGCCUAACACUGACGCUGAGGUACGAAAGCAUGGGGAGCAAACAGGAUUAGAUACCCCCGUAGUCCCUGUCUCUUAUAA